AUGAGAAAUGCGGAAGAGACCAAUAUCAAUUGGCGCCGAAGGAGUAAGUCAUAAGUUUGCCAUUUAUGGAGAAUCUCUCAGGCAAAAGGACCGUAUUUGGACA
RNAcentral lists this non-coding RNA (103 nucleotides) under Proteiniborus sp. DW1. Its description in RNAcentral is "Glycine riboswitch aptamer". It matches the Rfam family "Glycine riboswitch aptamer". Rfam says of the family: This family represents the bacterial glycine riboswitch. Lineage: Bacteria; Bacillati; Bacillota; Clostridia; Eubacteriales. The record is from Rfam by way of RNAcentral. RNAcentral also lists the same sequence under 1 other name.